ACUAUGUUUGGUUUUGAUCCACUUUCAUAACUUAAGAACCCGAGAGAUUUGUCACCAUCAAUGGGUAGUGUACACAGGCCAGUAGAUGCAUAUAAAUCCCGAGAUAUAAAUAUCAGACGGAGAAAGCCAAGCCCAGCAACCUAGAACCGAGGCCCAAUAACAUGCCAUAAUGUGGACCCUUUCUUGAUUAAGAUGCUAUAAAUUUUUAUGCUAUUUCUCAUAUGUGCAGUGUUAUAGAAAGUCAAUAAACCAGGGAAAAAAAAGGAUUCUUAUUCAUUAUGUCCACUAGAAAUAUUGAAUGUUCCAAAGUUUAGGCCAAAGUAAUAAAUGUCCCCUCAAUAGAUAAGACUAAAGUAAUAAUCUUGCAAUGGACUUCCAUUUGAGGAAGAGUUAGAUUUUGUGUACUCAAACAUGUGUGAAACGUUGGAUUGGAAUGUAAGCAGUGAAAUGCAUGCAAGCCUAAAAACAGGCAAGCAUUAUGCAGUUGUUGAUUGGUGAAGAAGGUAUCAUAUCAUAUAGUUUUAUCUUGCUGCCCCACAUGCAUUAUUAGAUUCAAAUAUCGAGAGCAUGACCCGCUUUCAUAGCAAGUUAAUCCAAAACAACAUUUGCAAGUGAUGGUUGAUUUAUUGUGUAUAAAAUUAAUAAUAAGAUAGUAUAAUAUUAAGAAAUCCUAGCUUAUUAAUUAACAAGUGGGCCAAGUCCAGCUGAACAUUGGCUGUGAAAACCUUUUAUCAAGUAAGAUGCUUUUUGGUGUUGCAGAUUAUAUCACUCACAUGUGCAACUUUAUAUAAAUAAACAUAACAUGCAAAAUAUUUCAAUGAAAAUCAAAUGAAUAAAGUCAACAAGUUGUAUACAAAUAGAACAAAACACUAAGCUUCCACUUAGAACCCUACGUAACAUUUUUUUAUUAUUUUUUUUAAUUCACUAAUGUUGUGUUUUAUUAUACAAAAGCACACAAGAAGUGUUGUGUUGGAAGGUUGAAAAGGUCACCAUGCAU
Molecule: long non-coding RNA, 997 nt
Filed under: Phoenix dactylifera (date palm)
Lineage: Eukaryota; Viridiplantae; Streptophyta; Magnoliopsida; Arecales; Arecaceae
Description: long non-coding RNA (PDAC_LNC001929)
Source: RNAcentral